CUCUCGUCCCUUCUUUUUUUUUUGGCUUGGGUGCCACAGCCAUAGUGGCAAGGGGCAAUGCUCCUUUUCUUUCUCUUGGGCCCUUUGUGCAUGGUCGGACUACCACCUCUAGCUAUCGGUACUCCAGCCAUGCUAUCACUACCGACACCAUCCAUCCUUUUCCCCCUUUGCUCUCCCUUGAAAGCCCUAGUGAAACCCAUGGAUCGGCAUGAGAAG
RNAcentral lists this long non-coding RNA (216 nucleotides) under Elaeis guineensis (African oil palm). Its description in RNAcentral is "long non-coding RNA (EGUI_LNC015084)". The record is from RNAcentral. Lineage: Eukaryota; Viridiplantae; Streptophyta; Magnoliopsida; Arecales; Arecaceae.